This 271-nucleotide long non-coding RNA is filed under the name Populus tremula. Its description in RNAcentral is "long non-coding RNA (PTRE_LNC001374)". The record is from RNAcentral. Lineage: Eukaryota; Viridiplantae; Streptophyta; Magnoliopsida; Malpighiales; Salicaceae.
UGAUAUGAUAUACGUUUCUUUGAUGAUUAUGUGAAUAUCUGUUAUGCCUUGAUAUGGGACUUGUCAGUAACUCCAUGCUAACGGAGAAUAGUUAGCCUGUGUGCACAUAGUAUUCUGUUACCUAGCUGGUGAGAGAGGCAUCAGCCUGUGGUGAUUGAUCAUCCCACAGUGGUCACCGACGGGUGUCAUCUGAUCUCUGACAUGUAAUCCACUACGUUAUGAUAAUAUGUUACGUUAUGAUAUUAUGUUUAGUAAGUAUAUGUAUAUGUAU